UCUUGGUAUUCUGGGAGCUACCAUUACUUGCACGCCCUCUGGUGGUAUUGAUGUGUCUAUGUUGUGUUCUGAAACUAUUGAUUUGUCUGAUGUUCCUUCCUCUGUGUGGGCUUCAUCUAAGUUAGAUGUAGGAUUUGUCAACUGCACCCCUUACAAAGCCAAACUAAAACCAGAUGUAACUCCUAUCUACCUUAAACAGUAC
Pelobates cultripes (western spadefoot toad) is the source of this 202-nucleotide non-coding RNA. The record is from the annotation of a GenBank genome assembly. NCBI's taxonomy places the organism in Eukaryota, Metazoa, Chordata, Amphibia, Anura, Pelobatidae.